Molecule: ribosomal RNA, 255 nt
Filed under: uncultured bacterium
Lineage: Bacteria
Description: partial 16S ribosomal RNA
Rfam family: Bacterial small subunit ribosomal RNA
Source: RNAcentral
UACGUAGGUGGCAAGCGUUGUCCGGAUUUAUUGGGCGUAAAGCGAGCGCAGGCGGUUCCUUAAGUCUGAUGUGAAAGCCCACGGCUCAACCGUGGAAGGUCAUUGGAAACUGGGGAACUUGAGUGCAGAAGAGGAGAGUGGAAUUCCAUGUGUAGCGGUGAAAUGCGUAGAUAUAUGGAGGAACACCAGUGGCGAAGGCGACUCUCUGGUCUGUAAACUGACGCUGAGGCUCGAAAAGCGUGGGGAGCAAACAGG